UCUACUCCCGACCUCCCCUUCUCUUUGGUCAAACCCAAAAACUGGCCACAACAAUUUCCUACCCUUUUAACUCUAGAAUUCGAUUCUUGCCCAGAAUUCUUGCAUCUUUUUACCCAUUUAGAGUUACCUAAUUGUUUACCCAGACAAUUUCUCCACCAAAUUGAUGAACAAAAGGUCAAAGACGAUGGAGGAGAGACUCCAAUCCAGGGUUCCUACGAUACUGCCAUACUUGUCGUCGUCAACGCCUACCGGAGCUUCCAUCCAAGACAUGCAUCCUCUCAGAACGCUGAUAGCUUCUGGUUUUAACAAGACUUCCAGCCAAAGAGACUCAAGAAGAGGGAACACAAUGAGCUAAAGACAAUUGCUGGAAAUUUUUGCACUUUUGCACAUGUAAUUGGAGCUAGAUUUAGGUGUACUCUCAAUCCCCGGCUAGAACGAUCCCUACUUAUUCUAUACUGACAACUACAUUUUGUAGGGUUAAAUUGCGCGCUUACUUUUAGCGUAUAACUUGUGUUUUCAUGUAAUCUUUCAUACUCUAUAUACUUGCUUAGUUAUUUAUACACUAUACUUGUUUAAUUAUUUUUACCUGUAAUAAUUACUAACUUUCUAAUUAUAUUCCGUCCGGCUGACGAAAGACGUUAAACUCAAGCGCUGCAUGGGAGGCAACCCAUUUCAACUGUAUCUGUGGAGGAGAUCAUCAAUGCAGAUUUGCUUUCUUGAACUCUCUCUACAUUAAUUUUUUUAUUCUUAUUUUUGGUUUUUAGGUUUCUUGCGUUAACUCUAUGCUCUCUAUACUUUGAUUGUUCGUUGCAUGCUAUAAAUUGUUUUACAUUGAGGACAAUGUAUGAUUUUAGUGUGGGGGAUGGGUUUAACGAUUUUGUGUGUUUUUAG
Molecule: long non-coding RNA, 891 nt
Organism: Rosa chinensis
Lineage: Eukaryota; Viridiplantae; Streptophyta; Magnoliopsida; Rosales; Rosaceae
Exons: 3
Source: RefSeq, a predicted model, not a curated record